Molecule: non-coding RNA, 542 nt
Organism: Arachis ipaensis
Lineage: Eukaryota; Viridiplantae; Streptophyta; Magnoliopsida; Fabales; Fabaceae
Source: RefSeq, a predicted model, not a curated record
CUCUAACCCCUAACCACCAAAUUUCAUUAGGGCCACAACAAUUUUUCAAUUGAUGAGACUGAGACCAUGCCUAUUAGUGUUACCUUUCCAUAAAAAUUGCUGCAUCAUAGAGUUGAUUUUAUCACGAACAUAAUUGAAAAAAUACAUCACCUGCAUAUGAUGAACACAAAUAGAGGUCAUCGCUGAUUUUAUAAAACAAAGUCUUUUAGCCUUUUUGAGAAGCUUUCCUUUCCAUCUUGCUAACUUAUAUUGAAUCUUAUCCAAAAUAUUAUGAAAAGAUGCUUUAUUGACCCUCUGGUGAUUUAGAUUAACACCUAAAUACUUUCCUAAAUUUUGAGUGAAUCUAAUAGAGGAGAGACCAGUGAACAUCUCCAGACGCCACGUGAAAACACUCUUAGAGUAAAGGGCCUUUGACUUUUUAACAUUUACCUUUAAACCAAACACCUUGCUGAACUUAUUAAGCACAUCUAUAAUCAUCAGGACUUGAGUCUUAGAUGCCUUGCAAAAAAUGAGAAGAUCAUCAACGAACAUUAGACAAGAUA